GGUGCGUUGGACGAAUUGGUAGAGUCACCGCCCUUUCACGGCGGAAUUUAAGGGUUCAAAUCCCUUACGCAUCACCA
RNAcentral lists this transfer RNA (77 nucleotides) under Lachnospiraceae bacterium 7_1_58FAA. RNAcentral's name for it is "tRNA-Glu". It matches the Rfam family "tRNA". From Rfam's summary of the family: Transfer RNA (tRNA) molecules are approximately 80 nucleotides in length. The record is from RNAcentral. Lineage: Bacteria; Bacillati; Bacillota; Clostridia; Lachnospirales; Lachnospiraceae.